GAUGAACGCUGGCGGCGUGCCUAAUACAUGCAAGUCGAGCGAACGGACGCGAAGCUUGCUUCUCUGAUGUUAGCGGCGGACGGGUGAGUAACACGUGGAUAACCUACCUAUCAGACUGGUAUAACUUCGGGAAACCGGAGCUAAUACCGGAUAAUAUUUUGAACCGCAUGGUUCAAAAGUGAAAGACGGUCUUGCUGUCACUUAUAGAUGGAUCCGCGCUGCAUUAGCUAGUUGGUAAGGUAACGGCUUACCAAGGCAACGAUGCGUAGCCGACCUGAGAGGGUGAUCGGCCACACUGGAACUGAGACACGGUCCAGACUCCUACGGGAGGCAGCAGUAGGGAAUCUUCCGCAAAGGGCGAAAGCCUGACGGAGCAACGCCGCGUGAGUGAUGAAGGUCUUCGGAUCGUAAAACUCUGUUAUUAGGGAAGAACAUAUGUGUAAGUAACUGUGCACAUCUUGACGGUACCUAAUCAGAAAGCCACGGCUAACUACGUG
RNAcentral lists this ribosomal RNA (497 nucleotides) under uncultured bacterium. RNAcentral describes it as "partial 16S ribosomal RNA". It matches the Rfam family "Bacterial small subunit ribosomal RNA", at positions 28 to 507 of the family's 1533-position model. The record is from RNAcentral.